Molecule: unclassified non-coding RNA, 276 nt
Filed under: uncultured fungus
Lineage: Eukaryota; Fungi
Description: partial contains 18S rRNA, ITS1, 5.8S rRNA
Source: RNAcentral
GCGGAAGGAUCAUUAAUGAGUUUUGAAGUGGGUUUGAUGCUGGCCUUACCAGGCAUGUGCUCGCCCUACUCUCAUCCACUCACACCUGUGCACCUAAAAGCGUUAGAAGAUUCAUCCCCUUGACCUUCAGGGGUGCGAUCCGAGGAAACUUGGUAUCGUUGGGUUGAGUUCUCUGCGUUUUACUCUUCUAUAAACCCUUGUAUGUUAUAGAAUGUCUAAUGGCCUACGGGCUUUAAUGAAAUACAACUUUCAACAACGGAUCUCUUGGCUCUCGCA